AUUGAACGCUGGCGGCAUGCCUUACACAUGCAAGUCGAACGGCAGCACGGGAGCAAUCCUGGUGGCGAGUGGCGAACGGGUGAGUAAUAUAUCGGAACGUGCCCAGUAGUGGGGGAUAACCCGGCGAAAGUCGGACUAAUACCGCAUACGACCUACGGGUGAAAGCGGGGGAGUCGCAAGACCUCGCGCUAUCGGAGCGGCCGAUAUCAGAUUAGCUUGUUGGUGGGGUAAAAGCCUACCAAGGCGACGAUCUGUAGCUGGUCUGAGAGGACGACCAGCCACACUGGGACUGAGACACGGCCCAGACUCCUACGGGAGGCAGCAGUGGGGAAUUUUGGACAAUGGGCGCAAGCCUGAUCCAGCCAUGCCGCGUGCGGGAAGAAGGCCUCGGUUGU
This 395-nucleotide ribosomal RNA is filed under the name uncultured bacterium. RNAcentral's name for it is "bacterial SSU rRNA". It matches the Rfam family "Bacterial small subunit ribosomal RNA", at positions 29 to 426 of the family's 1533-position model. The record is from RNAcentral.